GAUGAACGCUGGCGGCGUGCCUAAUACAUGCAAGUCGAGCGAACAGAUGAGGAGCUUGCUCCUCUGACGUUAGCGGCGGACGGGUGAGUAACACGUGGAUAACCUACCUAUAAGACUGGGAUAACUUCGGGAAACCGGAGCUAAUACCGGAUAAUAUAUUGAACCGCAUGGUUCAACAGUGAAAGACGGUUUUGCUGUCACUUAUAGAUGGAUCCGCGCCGCACUAGCUAGUUGGUAAGGUAACGGCUUACCAAGGCAACGAUGCGUAGCCGACCUGAGAGGGUGAUCGGCCACACUGGAACUGAGACACGGUCCAGACCCCUACGGGAGGCAGCAGUAGGGAAUCUUCCGCAAUGGGCGAAAGCCUGACGGAGCAACGCCGCGUGAGUGAUGAAGGUCUUCGGAUCGUAAAACUCUGUUAUUAGGGAAGAACAAAUGUGUAAGUAACUAUGCACGUCUUGACGGUACCUAAUCAGAAAGCCACGGCUAACUACGUG
This 497-nucleotide ribosomal RNA is filed under the name uncultured bacterium. RNAcentral describes it as "partial 16S ribosomal RNA". It matches the Rfam family "Bacterial small subunit ribosomal RNA", at positions 28 to 507 of the family's 1533-position model. The record is from RNAcentral.